This is a non-coding RNA of Homo sapiens (human), 117 nucleotides long. It matches the Rfam family "Metazoan signal recognition particle RNA". From Rfam's summary of the family: The signal recognition particle (SRP) is a universally conserved ribonucleoprotein. It is involved in the co-translational targeting of proteins to membranes. NCBI's taxonomy places the organism in Eukaryota, Metazoa, Chordata, Mammalia, Primates, Hominidae. The record is from Rfam.
GCCAGGCGCGGUGGCUCACGCCUGUAAUCCCAGCACUUUGGGAGGCUGAGGUGGGUGGAUCACCUGAGGUCAGGAGUUCGAGACAAGCCUGGCCAACAUGGUGAAACCCCGUCUCUA